UUGAACGCUGGCGGCAUGCCUUACACAUGCAAGUCGAACGGCAGCACGGGAGCAAUCCUGGUGGCGAGUGGCGAACGGGUGAGUAAUAUAUCGGAACGUGCCCAGUCGUGGGGGAUAACGUAGCGAAAGCUACGCUAAUACCGCAUACGAUCUAUGGAUGAAAGCGGGGGAUCGCAAGACCUCGCGCGAUUGGAGCGGCCGAUAUCAGAUUAGGUAGUUGGUGGGGUAAAGGCUCACCAAGCCAACGAUCUGUAGCUGGUCUGAGAGGACGACCAGCCACACUGGAACUGAGACACGGUCCAGACUCCUACGGGAGGCAGCAGUGGGGAAUUUUGGACAAUGGACGCAAGUCUGAUCCAGCCAUUCCGCGUGCAGGAUGAAGGCCCUCGGGUUGUAAACUGCUUUUGUACGGAACGAAAAGGUUUCUCUUAAUACGAGGAGCUCAUGACGGUACCGUAAGAAUAAGCACCGGCUAACUACGUG
This 483-nucleotide ribosomal RNA is filed under the name uncultured bacterium. RNAcentral's name for it is "bacterial SSU rRNA". It matches the Rfam family "Bacterial small subunit ribosomal RNA", at positions 30 to 507 of the family's 1533-position model. The record is from RNAcentral.